Molecule: ribosomal RNA, 329 nt
Filed under: uncultured cyanobacterium
Lineage: Bacteria; Bacillati; Cyanobacteriota
Description: partial 16S ribosomal RNA
Source: RNAcentral
GGAGUCUGGGCCGUGUCUCAGUCCCAUUGUGGCUGAUCAUCCUCUCAAACCAGCUACUGAUCGUCGCCUUGGUGGUCCAUUACACCCCCAACUAGCUAAUCAGAUGCAGACUCAUCCUGGAGCGAUAAAUCUUUCACGAAUAGUAUCGCAACUACGCGCAUAUGGGGUAUUAGCAGGAGUUUCCCUCUGUUGUCCCCCUCUCCAGGGCAGAUUCUCUACACAUUACUCACCCGUCCGCCACUUUCCUCUCUAGCAAGCUAGAGAUUCUCGUUCGACUUGCAUGUAUGAAGCACGCCGCCAGCGUGUCCUGAGCCACGGAUCAAACUACU